UUAAUAAUUUUUAUUCUAUUCUUAUAUAAAAUUGUCAAUUUAAAUAAAAUAACCGUUUAACACACCAAUAGGAAUUCCAAUUAAUAGUAACCAAUAAAACUAUGAUAAAAGUGGCAUUGUUCAACCAUUAACUAAAUCUAAGAAAAUGUAACUAAAACUGCAAAUGCUAGUAAUAAAUAUGAUAUAGUUGGAUCAUAGAAACUUAAUUUCAUUUGCACAAAAGUAAUAUCGAAAAUAGAACGAUAUAUUUAUUCUUUUUAUUAAUUCUAUUAUUAAUCAUUACUAAAAUAACGAAUGAUAAAAUUUAAUCUAAAAGUUUGUACUGAUCGAUGUAUCUCGAUGAAAAGAAUAAUCGAAACUAAACGCACUAACAGAAAAGUACUACAGGAAAUAGAGUAUUGUUUCGACACUAGUAGAUGGCGCUUAUAGAACUUCAAUUUACGAAAUACUGGAACGUUAUGCCGCUUUGAUUUUUUAUUGUUGUGAUAGAAUUAAGAAUAUCUUGUGAAAGAACAAACAAUAUAUCUUUUAAACAAUACAAAAAUGGAACUCACCGAUGAUAAUCUGUUGACGCUGAGCGAAUACUUAAAACAUACGUUAAGUCCUGAAAUAAGUGUCAGAAGACCGGCCGAAAAGUUUCUGGAAUCAAUAGAAAUAAAUCAGAAUUACCCUUUACUACUUUUACACUUGAUAGACAAAUCCGAAAUGGAUAUAACAAUAAGAGUUGCUGGUGCAGUUGCAUUUAAAAACUAUAUAAAGCGUAAUUGGAAGAUUGAUGAAGAUGGUGUAGAUCAUAUAAAUCAACAAGAUAGAGCUGCGAUAAAGAAGUUAAUAAUUAAUUUAAUGUUGAAUUCACCUCAUUCAGUACAAAAGCAGCUUUCUGAUGCUGUAUCGAUCAUCGGUAAACAUGAUCUUUUAAAAAAUUGGCCUGAGUUGAUCGGUCAGAUAAUUGAGAAAUUCAAUUCGGGGGAUUUAAAUAUUAUUAAUGGUAUUUUACAUACUGCACAUUCUUUAUUUAAGAGAUAUAGGUACGAAUUCAAAAGUGAAUCUUUGUGGAGAGAGAUUAAAUAUAUAUUGGACCAAUUUGCUAAACCGUUUACAGAAUUAUUUUUAACAACUAUAAAUUUAGCUCAGAUACAUGCUAAUAAUGUAGAUGCCUUAAAAGUCAUAUAUAAUUCUUUGGUUAUGCUAUGUAAAAUAUUUUAUUCUCUUAAUUUUCAAGAUUUACCGGAAUUUUUUGAAGAUAAUAUGUCAUCAUGGAUGAAAAACUUUCUUGUUUUAUUAAACGCUGAUGUGCCAUCACUAAGAACAACAGAUAAUGAAGAAGCAGGAGUAUUGGAGCAGUUAAAAACACAAAUUUGUGAUAAUAUUUGUCUUUAUGCUCAAAAAUAUGAUGAAGAAUUUCAGCCAUUUUUACCAGAAUUUGUAACUACAGUAUGGAACUUGUUAACGUCAACAGGUCAACAAACCAAAUACGAUGAGUUAGUAUCGAAUGCAUUGCAAUUUUUGGCCAUAGUAGCAGAUCGUUCACGAUAUAGAAAUCUGUUCGAAGAUGCAGGAACUUUAAGCAGUAUCUGCGAGAAAGUUAUUAUUCCUAAUAUGGAAUUUAGAGAUUCGGAUGGUGAAUUGUUUGAAGACAAUCCAGAGGAAUACAUACGCCGUGAUAUUGAAGGCAGUGAUGUAGAUACAAGAAGACGAGCAGCUUGUGAUUUGGUCAAAGUUCUAUCGAAAUAUUUUGAAGCUAAAAUAAUGGAAAUUUUUGGUGCUUAUAUACAGGUAAUGUUAGAAAACUAUGCAGCGAAACCUACUGAAAAUUGGCGCAGCAAAGACGCAGCUAUUUAUUUGGUAACAAGCAGUGCGACUAAAGGUAAAACACAAAAGCAUGGUGUAACGCAAAGAAGUGAACUUGUUCCAUUACCACAGUUUACAGCGCAACACAUCGAACCAGAACUUUCUAAACAAAACAUUAACGAAUGUCCAGUUCUUAAAGCGGAUGCUAUUAAAUUUAUAAUGUCAUUUAGAUCAGUUUUACCCCAGGAAUUAGUUGUAGGAAGUUUACCACAAUUAGUCAGACACUUAGGUGCUACAAGUCUUGUUGUUCAUACAUAUGCUGCUUGUGCAAUUGAUAGGAUACUUUCUAUGAGAGGCGCAGACAAUAACUCUAUAGUUAAAGGAAACGAUUUAAUGCCAUUAGCACCGGAUCUGUUUAAGGGAUUAUUUGCAUGUUUGUCUCAGACAGGGUCAGAAGAAAACGAAUAUGUGAUGAAAGCUAUUAUGAGAAGUUUUGGAAUAUUGCAAGAUAAUAUUGUACCUUUCCUAGCAGAAUUAUUACCAAAAUUGACAGAGAAACUUACAAUGGUUGCUAAAAAUCCAACACGUCCUAACUUCAAUCAUUAUCUUUUUGAAACAUUAAGUUUGUCUAUCAAAAUUGUAUGUAAAUCAAAUCCUCAAGCAGUUUUAUCUUUCGAGCAAGUUUUAUUCCCUGUAUUCCAAGAAAUUCUACAGCAAGAUAUUUCAGAAUUUAUACCUUAUGUUUUCCAAAUCUUGGCAUUGUUUUUGGAACUCAGGACUACUCAAGAAAUACCAGAUCCUUACAUGGCCUUAUUCCCAUGCUUAUUAACACCAGUUCUGUUUGAACGUCAAGCUAAUAUUCAUCCACUUAAUAGAUUAUUGCAAGCAUAUAUUAGUCGAGGUUCACAUUUAAUUAUAGCACAGGAUAAAACUAGCGGCUUAUUGGGCGUUUUCCAAAAGUUAAUUGCAUCUAAGGUUAAUGACCGUGAAGGGUUCUUAUUAUUACAAUGUAUCAUUGAAUAUUUCCCACCGAAUACGUUGGAACCAUACAUGAAGCAAAUUUUUGUAUUAUUAUUCCAACGGCUAUCUUCUUCGAAAACAACUAAAUUUGUACAAGGUUUAAUAGUAUUCUUUGCCUAUUAUAUUAUUAGAUAUAAUGCAACUAGUUUCAUUAAUAUUAUCGAUCAAAUACAACCACAAAUGUUUGGUAUGGUCGUGGAACGCGUCUUGCUUCCCGAUUUACAAAGAGUCUCAGGUGAUAUAGAAAAAAAAAUAACAGCUGUAGGAAUAUCGAAUUUAUUAACCGAUUGUCCAGCUAUGUUUGAAAACCCAUAUAAUACAUUUUAUCCACGCAUUUUAACUGCAUUGGUAGAAUUCUUUGAAUUUUCUCAUGAUCAAACUUUGUUUCCGGAAGAUAUGAUAACUGAAUUGGAAGAAAACAUGGAAUAUCAAGUUGGUUACAGUCAGCUCGCUUAUGCUAAAAUGCCUAAAAAAGAUCCACUUCAAUCUAUUGGCGACGCACGUAUACAUUUGGCACAAGGACUUGGUAGAUUAUCACCAGGACAAUUGCCAGGAUUACUUGGACAAAUUUCAGGACCAAAUGCAAAUUUUGUAAAGCAUUAUCUACAAAACGCCGGCAUUACGGUUGCAUAAUAUAAACUGAAUAUCAAAAACAGAUUGAAGAUACAUUUAAUAUCACGAAAGAUAACAAACAUCAAAUUAAAUAAAUUAUUCGUGGUUAGUUCCUUGUCUGGUGAACAUGCUACCGAGGAAGCCUCAAGUCAUGUCUUGACGAGCAAUUCUUCCUACACCAUGUUAUACUCGAACAUACUCCUAUAUACUACGUGUU
This 3640-nucleotide unclassified non-coding RNA is filed under the name Polistes dominula (European paper wasp). RNAcentral describes it as "exportin-2, transcript variant X1". The record is from RNAcentral. Lineage: Eukaryota; Metazoa; Arthropoda; Insecta; Hymenoptera; Vespidae.